Molecule: ribosomal RNA, 305 nt
Filed under: uncultured bacterium
Lineage: Bacteria
Description: bacterial SSU rRNA
Rfam family: Bacterial small subunit ribosomal RNA
Source: RNAcentral
UUUCCUACGGGAGGCAGCAGUAGGGAAUCUUUCACAAUGGGCGAAAGCCUGAUGGAGCAACGCCGCGUGCAGGAUGAAGGCCUUCGGGUUGUAAACUGCUUUUAUAAGCGAGAAAUAUGAUGGUAACUUAUGAAUAAGGAUCGGCUAACUACGUGCCAGCAGCCGCGGUAAUACGGAGGAUGCGAGCGUUAUCCGGAUUUAUUGGGUUUAAAGGGUGCGCAGGCGGCACGGCAAGCCGGCGGUCAAAUCGCGGGGCUCAACCCCGCCCAGCCGUCGGAACUGCCGGGCUAGAGUGGGCGAGAAGG